GAGUUUGAUCCUGGCUCAGGAUGAACGCUAGCGGCAGGCCUAAUACAUGCAAGUCGAGGGGCAGCACAGGUAGCAAUACUGGGUGGCGACCGGCAAACGGGUGCGGAACACGUACACAACCUUCCUUUUAGUGGAGCAUAGCCCAGGGAAACUUGGAUUAAUACUCCGUAACAUAACGAUAUGGCAUCAUGUUGUUAUUAUAGAAGCGAUUCGCUAGAAGACGGGUGUGCGGCUGAUUAGAUAGUUGGCGGGGUAACGGCCCACCAAGUCCACGAUCAGUAACUGGUGUGAGAGCACGACCAGUCACACGGGCACUGAGACACGGGCCCGACUCCUACGGGAGGCAGCAGUAAGGAAUAUUGGUCAAUGGACGCAAGUCUGAACCAGCCAUGCCGCGUGGAGGAUGAAGGCCCUCUGGGUUGUAAACUUCUUUUAUAGGGGACGAAAAAGGGUCUUUCCAGAUCAACUGACGGUACCCUAGGAAUAAGCACCGGCUAACUCCGUG
This 505-nucleotide ribosomal RNA is filed under the name uncultured Terrimonas sp. RNAcentral's name for it is "bacterial SSU rRNA". It matches the Rfam family "Bacterial small subunit ribosomal RNA", at positions 9 to 507 of the family's 1533-position model. The record is from RNAcentral. Lineage: Bacteria; Pseudomonadati; Bacteroidota; Chitinophagia; Chitinophagales; Chitinophagaceae.